Molecule: non-coding RNA, 28 nt
Filed under: Mus musculus (house mouse)
Lineage: Eukaryota; Metazoa; Chordata; Mammalia; Rodentia; Muridae
Source: RNAcentral
UGCUCAGGGAAAGCUUUCUCUGGUGGUU